UACGGAGGGGGCUAGCGUUGUUCGGAAUUACUGGGCGUAAAGCGCACGUAGGCGGCUCAGCAAGUUAGGGGUGAAAUCCCGGGGCUCAACCCCGGAACUGCCUUUAAAACUGUUGGUCUGGAGGUCGAGAGAGGUGAGUGGAAUUCCGAGUGUAGAGGUGAAAUGCGUAGAUAUCAAGCGGAACACCAGUGGCGAAGGCGAGUCUCUGGACAAUUCCUGACACUGAGGCACGAAAGCCAGGGGAGCAAACGGG
This 253-nucleotide ribosomal RNA is filed under the name uncultured bacterium. Its description in RNAcentral is "partial 16S ribosomal RNA". It matches the Rfam family "Bacterial small subunit ribosomal RNA", at positions 524 to 776 of the family's 1533-position model. The record is from RNAcentral.